UGGGCAACCUGCCCCUCUCUCUGGGAUAACCCCGGGGAAACCGGAGCUAAUACCGGAUACUCCGGCUGGAUCGCAUGGUCCGGCCGGGAAAGGUCCGCCGGAGAGGGAUGGGCCCGCGGCCUAUCAGCUUGUUGGUGGGGUCAUGGCUCACCAAGGCGACGACGGGUAGCUGGU
RNAcentral lists this ribosomal RNA (174 nucleotides) under uncultured bacterium. RNAcentral's name for it is "partial 16S ribosomal RNA". It matches the Rfam family "Bacterial small subunit ribosomal RNA", at positions 118 to 291 of the family's 1533-position model. The record is from RNAcentral.